AGGACGUUUUAUGCUUCUGCUUACCCCUGCAGACCCCUCUGCGUCUACGCCGGACCCUACGCCGUAGCCUGACGUGCACCUCUCGAAAAAUAUAACUACAUAUUGCGGCAAGG
This is a long non-coding RNA of Etheostoma cragini (Arkansas darter), 113 nucleotides long. RefSeq lists it as uncharacterized. The transcript is spliced from 3 exons. Lineage: Eukaryota; Metazoa; Chordata; Actinopteri; Perciformes; Percidae. The record is from RefSeq and is a predicted model, not a curated record.